Molecule: signal recognition particle RNA, 209 nt
Filed under: Chlorocebus sabaeus (green monkey)
Lineage: Eukaryota; Metazoa; Chordata; Mammalia; Primates; Cercopithecidae
Description: Metazoan signal recognition particle RNA
Rfam family: Metazoan signal recognition particle RNA
About the family: The signal recognition particle (SRP) is a universally conserved ribonucleoprotein. It is involved in the co-translational targeting of proteins to membranes. The eukaryotic SRP consists of a 300-nucleotide 7S RNA and six proteins: SRPs 72, 68, 54, 19, 14, and 9.
Source: Rfam by way of RNAcentral
GCUGGGCGCGGUGGCUCAAGCCUGUAAUCCCAGCACUUUGGGAGGCUGAGGCGGGCGGAUCAUGAGGUCAGGAGAUCGAGACCAUCCUGGCUAACACGAUGAAACCCCGUCUCUACUAAAAANNNNNNNNNNUUUUUAGUAGAGACGGGGUUUCAUCGUGUUAGCCAGGAUGGUCUCGAUCUCCUGACCUCAUGAUCCGCCCGCCUCAG